AUUCCGGGAAUUGACAGUUUUGAGCUCCAAAUUUGAACUGGGUUGGGGGCUAUAAAUACCCCACCCAUUCAGCACUGAUAGCAGACAACAUACACCGAAAUCUUGAUCUUGUUCUGUGAUUUUUAGAGCUCAAAAUUGUUGUAAAGGCCAAAAGUUCUUCUCCCUCUUUUCUUCCAAGUUCUGAGCUUUAAAGAGAGGAGAGAAAAUUCUGUAAGGGUUAUCUCCUAAGCCCGUCAAAAG
This 240-nucleotide long non-coding RNA is filed under the name Musa acuminata (dwarf banana). Its description in RNAcentral is "long non-coding RNA (MACU_LNC008762)". Lineage: Eukaryota; Viridiplantae; Streptophyta; Magnoliopsida; Zingiberales; Musaceae. The record is from RNAcentral.